CCCCACCAAAUAAAGGAAAGAAUUAAUCCAUAAAGAAAGGAAUCAAUCAAUCAAUGAUUUCUCGCGUGAAAAAUGAUAUCUUGAUCAGCAAGUUAUGCUGACUUGUUGUCUCUGCCAUUUAUAUUUUUUCAGGUUAAAAAAUCAGACCAAAUUCCUAGGAUAUAAGUUGUCUAGUUAAGUCGUCACCACUUAUGUCAUCCAUGUCUACAAUAAUUUCUUAAAUAAGUUAUAUCCAUCUCUUCUUCUCUUCUUCACUCCUUCCAAGUUCCACCCCAGUCGACAGCAAUGUCCACCGCCGUCGCCGGAGCCCACGUACUGGUAUACGCAUACCCGGCCGCCGGCCAUAUAAUCCCAAUACUCGACCUAACCCACUACCUACUCAGCCGUGGCCUCACCGUGACCCUCCUCCUCAUCCUCCAAAGUCCACCCCCAGUCGACAGCAUGGUCCACCGCCGUCGCCGGAGCCCACGUCCUGGUAUAUCCAUACCCGGCCGCCGGCCAUAUAAUCCCAAUACUCGACCUAACCCACCACCUACUCAGCCGCGGCCUCACCGUGACCCUACUCCUCACUCCAUCCAACCUCAACCUCCUUCAUAGCUUCCGCCUCUCCCACCCAACCACCACCCAGCUCAACGAGCUCAUCCUCCCAGCUCCGGAUCCUUCGCCGUCGGGACCGACCCGACCCAUCGGACCUAUAGUCAACAUGA
Molecule: long non-coding RNA, 707 nt
Filed under: Linum usitatissimum (flax)
Lineage: Eukaryota; Viridiplantae; Streptophyta; Magnoliopsida; Malpighiales; Linaceae
Description: long non-coding RNA (LUSI_LNC004726)
Source: RNAcentral